AUUGAACGCUGGCGGCAGGCCUAACACAUGCAAGUCGAGCGGAUGAAGGGAGCUUGCUCCUGGAUUCAGCGGCGGACGGGUGAGUAAUGCCUAGGAAUCUGCCUGGUAGUGGGGGAUAACGUCCGGAAACGGGCGCUAAUACCGCAUACGUCCUGAGGGAGAAAGUGGGGGAUCUUCGGACCUCACGCUAUCAGAUGAGCCUAGGUCGGAUUAGCAAGUUGGUGGGGUAAAGGCCUACCAAGGCGACGAUCCGUAACUGGUCUGAGAGGAUGAUCAGUCACACUGGAACUGAGAUACGGUCCAGACUCCUACGGGAGGCAGCAGUGGGGAAUAUUGGACAAAGGGCGAAAGCCUGAUCCAGCCAUGCCGCGUGUGUGAAGAAGGUCUUCGGAUUGUAAAGCACUUUAAGUUGGGAGGAAGGGCAGUAAGUUAAUACCUUGCUGUUUUGACGUUACCAACAGAAUAAGCACCGGCUAACUUCGUG
RNAcentral lists this ribosomal RNA (484 nucleotides) under uncultured bacterium. Its description in RNAcentral is "partial 16S ribosomal RNA". It matches the Rfam family "Bacterial small subunit ribosomal RNA", at positions 30 to 507 of the family's 1533-position model. The record is from RNAcentral.